Molecule: transfer RNA, 77 nt
Filed under: Oscillospiraceae bacterium
Lineage: Bacteria; Bacillati; Bacillota; Clostridia; Eubacteriales; Oscillospiraceae
Description: tRNA-Arg
Rfam family: tRNA
About the family: Transfer RNA (tRNA) molecules are approximately 80 nucleotides in length.
Source: RNAcentral
GCACCCGUAGCUCAGAUGGAUAGAGCGUCAGACUCCGACUCUGAAGGCCGUGGGUUCGAGCCCCGCCGGGUGUACCA